GUGGGGAAUCUUAGACAAUGGGGGAAACCCUGAUCUAGCCAUGCCGCGUGAGCGAUGAAGGCCUUAGGGUUGUAAAGCUCUUUCAGCUGGGAAGAUAAUGACUGUACCAGCAGAAGAAGCCCCGGCUAACUCCGUGCCAGCAGCCGCGGUAAUACGGAGGGGGCUAGCGUUGUUCGGAAUUACUGGGCGUAAAGCACACGUAGGCGGACCGGAAAGUCAGAGGUGAAAUCCCAGGGCUCAACCUUGGAACUGCCUUUGAAACUCCUGGUCUUGAGGUCGAGAGAGGUGAGUGGAAUUCCGAGUGUAGAGGUGAAAUUCGUAGAUAUUCGGAGGAACACCAGUGGCGAAGGCGGCUCACUGGCUCGAUACUGACGCUGAGGUGCGAAAGCGUGGGGAGCAAACAGGAUUAGAUACCCGAGUAGUCC
This 425-nucleotide ribosomal RNA is filed under the name uncultured bacterium. Its description in RNAcentral is "partial 16S ribosomal RNA". It matches the Rfam family "Bacterial small subunit ribosomal RNA", at positions 354 to 796 of the family's 1533-position model. The record is from RNAcentral.